GACGAACGCUGGCGGCGUGCCUAAUACAUGCAAGUAGAACGCUGAAGGAGGAGCUUGCUUCUCUGGAUGAGUUGCGAACGGGUGAGUAACGCGUAGGUAACCUGUCUGGUAGCGGGGGAUAACUAUUGGAAACGAUAGCUAAUACCGCAUAAUAGUAGAUGUUGCAUGACAUUUGCUUAAAAGGUGCAAUUGCAUCACUACCAGAUGGACCUGCGUUGUAUUAGCUAGUUGGUGGGGUAACGGCUCACCAAGGCGACGAUACAUAGCCGACCUGAGAGGGUGAUCGGCCACACUGGGACUGAGACACGGCCCAGACUCCUACGGGAGGCAGCAGUAGGGAAUCUUCGGCAAUGGACGGAAGUCUGACCGAGCAACGCCGCGUGAGUGAAGAAGGUUUUCGGAUCGUAAAGCUCUGUUGUAAGAGAAGAACGAGUGUGAGAGUGGAAAGUUCACACUGUGACGGUAUCUACCAGAAAGGGACGGCUAACUACGUG
RNAcentral lists this ribosomal RNA (494 nucleotides) under uncultured bacterium. Its description in RNAcentral is "partial 16S ribosomal RNA". It matches the Rfam family "Bacterial small subunit ribosomal RNA", at positions 28 to 507 of the family's 1533-position model. The record is from RNAcentral.